UACGUAGGGGGCAAGCGUUGUCCGGAUUGACUGGGCGUAAAGGGUGCGUAGGCGGUUUGGUAAGUCAAAUGUGAAAGCCCGUAGCUUGACUACGGAACUGCAUUUGAUACUGCUAGACUCGAGUUCGGGAGAGGCAAGCGGAAUUCCUAGUGUAGCGGUGAAAUGCGUAGAUAUUAGGAGGAACACCGGUGGCGAAGGCGGCUUGCUGGAACGACACUGACGCUGAGGCACGAAAGCGUGGGGAGCAAAC
Molecule: ribosomal RNA, 250 nt
Filed under: uncultured prokaryote
Description: partial 16S ribosomal RNA
Rfam family: Bacterial small subunit ribosomal RNA
Source: RNAcentral